UCUGGUGACGAUGCCUAAAUGGUUCCACCUGUACCCAUACCGAACACAGUAGUUAAGCAUUUAGAGGCCGAAAGUACUUGCAUGGAGACGUGCUGGGAGGAUAGGAAGUUGCCAGUU
Non-coding RNA from Megamonas funiformis YIT 11815, 117 nucleotides. The record is from Rfam. Lineage: Bacteria; Bacillati; Bacillota; Negativicutes; Selenomonadales; Selenomonadaceae.